RNAcentral lists this ribosomal RNA (225 nucleotides) under uncultured bacterium. RNAcentral describes it as "partial 16S ribosomal RNA". It matches the Rfam family "Bacterial small subunit ribosomal RNA", at positions 15 to 231 of the family's 1533-position model. The record is from RNAcentral.
GAUCCUGGCUCAGGAUGAACGCUAGCUACAGGCUUAACACAUGCAAGUCGAGGGGCAGCAUGGUCUUAGCUUGCUAAGGCCGAUGGCGACCGGCGCACGGGUGAGUAACACGUAUCCAACCUGCCGUCUACUCUUGGACAGCCUUCUGAAAGGAAGAUUAAUACAAGAUGGCAUCAUGAGUCCGCAUGUUCACAUGAUUAAAGGUAUUCCGGUAGACGAUGGUGA